AAAAAGAGGAAUGGCUGGGCGUAUGCCCAGCCAUCCCUUCGCCCAACCACCAUGAAUGAUGGGGCUCUGGCUACCAACUCCUUGGUGCUAGAACCCCAUUGCCGGGUUGUCUUAAUUUUUUGAUAACCCAGCUUUUAAAAAUCAAACCUGCAAAACCAAGGGCAGGGGAUAACCAAAAAAAAAAAAUCACAGAUCAAAUACAAAAAAAAUCCUAAACUACCAGCAACAGAUAACCACAACAAAAAAUAUGAAAAAUUUGAGAGAAAUAGGAAAUCAAGGGAAAAAAGGGAAAAGGUUUCCUUUUCAUCGCAUGGUUGUUGGGUUUUAGAUCUUUUUUUUUUUAAGGGGUUUGGACUGGUUGGAGGGCAGAGAAGGUGGGGUUGUAGAUACCGCCGGUUGUAGGAGGGAGACUUGGUCUUUUUUUGGGAGGGUCGAAUUUGUGGUGGGUGGCUAGAGAGAGGAAGUCACCGACUGUAGGAUGAGAUAAGGUUGUUGGGAUUUGGUUUGCGAGAGAGCAAGAAAAAGAGAGGAAGCCGUCGGGUAGUGAGAGAAGACCGGAGCGGCACCGGCUUAA
Molecule: long non-coding RNA, 574 nt
Filed under: Theobroma cacao (cacao)
Lineage: Eukaryota; Viridiplantae; Streptophyta; Magnoliopsida; Malvales; Malvaceae
Description: long non-coding RNA (TCAC_LNC001502)
Source: RNAcentral